Molecule: long non-coding RNA, 342 nt
Organism: Haplochromis burtoni (Burton's mouthbrooder)
Lineage: Eukaryota; Metazoa; Chordata; Actinopteri; Cichliformes; Cichlidae
Exons: 3
Source: RefSeq, a predicted model, not a curated record
AAAGUAAGGACCACCACUAAAUUUUAACAUCAUUUAAAAUGAGAGAAGAAGAUUCUGUUAUCAGACUGUAAACUCUCCUGUGGUUCUCUCUUUGCAGACAAAACAAGACUUUUAAAGACCAUCACCACUUUCUUACUGCUGCCCAUUCUGACUUUUGCAAACAAGAAGUGUCAUCUCUGAGGCAACAGAUGACAGAGGUUCAUCCUGUGGCAGACACUCUUCCAAAUUUCACAUCAGAAUCUCAAGGAGCCAUGAUCCAAAGCGGGGUUUCCUCAUGGACAGAGAACUCUGUGCGCAAAUGUAUGCAGUGGGUGGACCCCUCCAGGGCCAGUAGAAGAGUAA